RNAcentral lists this long non-coding RNA (1002 nucleotides) under Rattus norvegicus (Norway rat). RNAcentral's name for it is "long non-coding RNA NONRATT025270". The record is from RNAcentral. Lineage: Eukaryota; Metazoa; Chordata; Mammalia; Rodentia; Muridae.
CAGGGAGGCAGAUCAAGACUCAGAUGGUCACGUCAGCUUCCGAGACUUUGAAUACGCCAUGAACCAUGGGAAAGCAAAAUGAGCCAGGCCGGACACUUGUGAACUACUUCUGGAGAACCUGUGCAGAUGGAUGAACUGUAAUCUAGUAAUCACACAGACCACACUCUAGGAAGGGCAUGACACUGUGUACUUGUGCGUUAACUCUUAGCUAUAGGUUUGGAAUGUUGAUAUUGGACCUAGAGGUGGGACUCUCCUUCUGUGUCUCUACCAGCCCAGUGGGUUUCGGGGGGUUUUCCCUUCCUACUCUAGUCAGCUCUGCCUCCUCCACACUGUGAGUUGAAGGCUCUGCUCACUCCACAUGGGUCCCUCGCUCUCAUCAGCUCCGGGGAGGGUUCGCUUUGCUCUGCUAGUGGUGUCACUGCCAUUCACUUGCUCCACCUUGGCUGAAGGUCAAGCUUCCUGAGUCCAAGCCAUGAGCCAGUGCUGGGAAAACAGAGACUUCCUCAGACAAUGUCCCCGGAGUAGCGAUCGGUGCACAGGGCACCAGUGUGCACAGCAUAGGAAGCAGCUCGUGUGGGCGCCAGCAUUCUUCAUACAGAGAAGGCCAGAAUGCAGUUGGGGUCUUAAUGGGCAGAAGGGUGUGAUUUUUGGGUCCCUUUAGCAUAGCCUGGGCCUGAGCCUGGGCUUCUUCCUUCAGAGCAGCCGGCUGGAGAAGCGGGCCAGCAGCCCUCUGCUGCAUACUUCCAGUUCUGGGUAGUUUUGCCGAGUACCUGGAGAUUCAGCCAUCCUAGGGUUAGGAGGCUCUACAUCCCGCCAUGCCCCAGCGCGCCGGUGACUACCUUCCCGGACCUCAUGGAGGCACAACAUAGCAUCUACUAAAAAGAAUUCUGAAAUACUGAUAUUAUCACUGUAAGUGUUUCACAACAUUAACAUUUGUAAAAUAAUUAAUGUAAUUUAUGUCUCUAAAGUGUUAAACAUUAAAAGAUCAAGUAAAAAUAUAAA